UCUUUAUUAUUGAAUGCCGGGGUAGUAAUAAUAUCUUUAAACCUAAAGAAUUUGGCGGUACCUCAUUCUUACUAGAGGAACCUGCUCUUGAAUCGAUAUUCCACGAUUAAAUUUACGUGUUUUUGCUUUCAGUUUGUAUACCGCCGUUGUCAGAUUAUUUUUAAAAAAUAUUAUCUAACUAGUUUAUUGCUGUGACAUCAGGUCAAGGUGCAGCCGAUGAACCCGGGAGUAGUGGGUUACAAUAAAAUUAAUUUAUUACGGAUUAGUACUUGUAUUAUUAUUAUGAAGGUGGAUUUAGUAGUAAAAUAGAAAUAAAAAGUUUAUAUGAAAUGAGCUCUGAGGUGUGU
RNAcentral lists this ribosomal RNA (347 nucleotides) under Lepidurus couesii. RNAcentral describes it as "partial 12S ribosomal RNA". Lineage: Eukaryota; Metazoa; Arthropoda; Branchiopoda; Notostraca; Triopsidae. The record is from RNAcentral.